Molecule: ribosomal RNA, 466 nt
Filed under: uncultured Klebsiella sp.
Lineage: Bacteria; Pseudomonadati; Pseudomonadota; Gammaproteobacteria; Enterobacterales; Enterobacteriaceae
Description: bacterial SSU rRNA
Rfam family: Bacterial small subunit ribosomal RNA
Source: RNAcentral
CCUACGGGCGGCAGCAGUGGGGAAUAUUGCACAAUGGGCGCAAGCCUGAUGCAGCCAUGCCGCGUGUGUGAAGAAGGCCUUCGGGUUGUAAAGCACUUUCAGCGGGGAGGAAGGCGGUGAGGUUAAUAACCUCAUCGAUUGACGUUACCCGCAGAAGAAGCACCGGCUAACUCCGUGCCAGCAGCCGCGGUGAAUACGGAGGGUGCAAGCGUUAAUCGGAAUUACUGGGCGUAAAGCGCACGCAGGCGGUCUGUCAAGUCGGAUGUGAAAUCCCCGGGCUCAACCUGGGAACUGCAUUCGAAACUGGCAGGCUAGAGUCUUGUAGAGGGGGGUAGAAUUCCAGGUGUAGCGGUGAAAUGCGUAGAGAUCUGGAGGAAUACCGGUGGCGAAGGCGGCCCCCUGGACAAAGACUGACGCUCAGGUGCGAAAGCGUGGGGAGCAAACAGGAUUAGAUACCCUUGUAGUC